Non-coding RNA from Schizosaccharomyces pombe (fission yeast), 602 nucleotides. Lineage: Eukaryota; Fungi; Ascomycota; Schizosaccharomycetes; Schizosaccharomycetales; Schizosaccharomycetaceae. The record is from the annotation of a GenBank genome assembly.
AAGGUAAAGGGUUAUGAAGACCCAUAUUUAGGGAUUGUUUUUAUGAAUGUUUGACGAAGAGGGUAAGUUAUAGCAGCAGCAUGGAACCCAUUGCAUCCCAACAUAUACAGAACUUUAGAGAUGAAUUCGGUAAGCAUACGAUAAUGACGUAGAAGCCAGUUACUUUAACUGUGGUUAAAGCAAAAAUCAGUUGUGAAUUCCCAAAAUCGUAUGUAAAUUGUUUAGCGUUUUUUAAAUAGAUUUGGUUUAUAUCGAAGUAAUUGUUAUUGACUCAAAAUUAUAGAUUGCUUAGCAUUAUGGAUGGACGUGCAAAUACUUAACGAAACCGAUGUAACAAUUACCUUACUUCAAUCAAGGAAGUCUGAAUGUGAAAUAACUACACUAAUAUUUACAACAGCUCGAAUGCUGCAUUACAAUCCUUACAAAGAAAGCACCUGAAAACUAUCCAUCUAGAUUUAAAACCAUUCUUUUAACCUUGGAAACCCUUAGACAACUAAAAAUAUAACAAAAUAUAGAUUUAAGAAUAUCAUUUUAAAGAGACAAAAAUACGGUGGAUUUGAUAUACCUAGAAUAACGAAUCACACUUUGUAAUGUAAAAGCAG